RNAcentral lists this ribosomal RNA (253 nucleotides) under uncultured bacterium. Its description in RNAcentral is "partial 16S ribosomal RNA". It matches the Rfam family "Bacterial small subunit ribosomal RNA", at positions 524 to 776 of the family's 1533-position model. The record is from RNAcentral.
UACGUAGGUGGCGAGCGUUGUCCGGAAUUACUGGGCGUAAAGCGUGCGUAGACGGUUACAUAAGUCGGGUGUGAAAGCCCCGGGCUCAACCUGGGAAUUGCAUUCGAGACUGCGUAGCUAGGGUGCGGAAGAGGGAAGCGGAAUUUCCGGUGUAGCGGUGAAAUGCGUAGAUAUCGGAAGGAACACCAGUGGCGAAAGCGGCUUCCUGGUCCAGCACCGACGUUCAGGCACGAAAGCGUGGGGAGCAAACAGG